AUACGUAGGGGGCGAGCGUUGUCCGGAAUGAUUGGGCGUAAAGGGCGCGUAGGCGGCCCGGUAAGUCUGGAGUGAAAGUCCUGUUUUUAAGAUGGGAAUUGCUUUGGAUACUGUCGGGCUUGAGUGCAGGAGAGGUAAGUGGAAUUCCCAGUGUAGCGGUGAAAUGCGUAGAGAUUGGGAGGAACACCAGUGGCGAAGGCGACUUUCUGGACUGUAACUGACGCUGAGGCGCAAAAGUGUGGGGAGCAAACAGGAUUAGAUACCCUGGUAGUCCACGCUGUAAACGUUGAAUGCUAGUUGUGAGGGCGCAAGCUUUCGUGCCGGAGUAAACACAAUAAGCAUUCCACCUGGGGAGUACGGCCGCAAGGUUGAAACUCAGAGGAAUUGACGGGG
RNAcentral lists this ribosomal RNA (393 nucleotides) under uncultured bacterium. RNAcentral's name for it is "partial 16S ribosomal RNA". It matches the Rfam family "Bacterial small subunit ribosomal RNA", at positions 523 to 918 of the family's 1533-position model. The record is from RNAcentral.